RNAcentral lists this small nuclear RNA (196 nucleotides) under Gossypium hirsutum (cotton). RNAcentral describes it as "U2 spliceosomal RNA". It matches the Rfam family "U2 spliceosomal RNA". Rfam says of the family: U2 is a small nuclear RNA (snRNA) component of the spliceosome (involved in pre-mRNA splicing). Complementary binding between U2 snRNA (in an area lying towards the 5' end but 3' to hairpin I) and the branchpoint sequence (BPS) of the intron results the bulging out of an unpaired adenosine, on the BPS, which initiates a nucleophilic attack at the intronic 5' splice site, thus starting the first of two transesterification reactions that mediate splicing. Lineage: Eukaryota; Viridiplantae; Streptophyta; Magnoliopsida; Malvales; Malvaceae. The record is from Rfam by way of RNAcentral.
AUACCUUUCUCGGCCUUUUGGCUAAGAUCAAGUGUAGUAUCUGUUCUUAUCAGUUUAAUAUCUGAUACGUGGGCCAAUAGCCCACACGAUAUUAAAUUUAUGUUUUGAGGGGGAGAGUCCAUCACAGUAGCUUGCUACUGGAACUCUCGAGCGUCGCCCAAGUGUUGCACUAUUUCUUGGGCCCGGCGCACUCCGA